UAGUCAUAUGCUUGUCUCAAAGAUUAAGCCAUGCAUGUCUAAGUAUAAGCACUUGUACUGUGAAACUGCGAAUGGCUCAUUAAAUCAGUUAUCGUUUAUUUGAUUGUACAUUUACUACAUGGAUACCUGUGGUAAUUCUAGAGCUAAUACAUGCGAAAAGUCCCGACUUCUGGAAGGGAUGUAUUUAUUAGAUUAAAAACCAAUACGGGUCAAACCGUUCUAUUGGUGAUUCAUGAUAACUUAUCGAAUCGCAUGGCUCACGCCGGCGACGUUUCAUUCAAAUUUCUGCCCUAUCAACUUUCGAUGGUAAGGUAUUGGCUUACCAUGGUUACAACGGGUAACGGAGAAUUAGGGUUCGAUUCCGGAGAGGGAGCCUGAGAAACGGCUACCACUUCCAAGGAAGGCAGCAGGUGCGCAAAUUACCCAAUCCUGACACAGGGAGGUAGUGACAAAAAAUAACAAUACAGGACUUUUAAAGCCUUG
Molecule: ribosomal RNA, 483 nt
Filed under: uncultured eukaryote
Lineage: Eukaryota
Description: SSU rRNA
Rfam family: Eukaryotic small subunit ribosomal RNA
Source: RNAcentral